RNAcentral lists this long non-coding RNA (1562 nucleotides) under Oreochromis niloticus (Nile tilapia). RNAcentral describes it as "lncRNA (ENSONIG00000030701.1)". The record is from RNAcentral. Lineage: Eukaryota; Metazoa; Chordata; Actinopteri; Cichliformes; Cichlidae.
UGUCUUCGAGUAAAAUUCAGGCCAGUCCAAAUACAAACGCAACCCUCCCCUGCAACAUGACGCUCUCUGCUGAGGGGGACAACAUAAACCAGUCUCUGAUCGCAGUCAGCUGGGUUAAAAAUGGCUCUGAAAUCGCCUCGUUUGGAAAAGCAGCAACACAAAUAAAGGAAGGCUUCAGCUGGGACAACGCUGACUUCGUCAAUGGGGACUUCUCGCUGGUCGUCCUCAAAGCCAGUCUUGACCUGCAGGGGAUGUAUGAAUGCACCAUCAGCUACAACUUCACUAUUCUUCACUAUAGUAAUGUUACAUUUACUAUCGUCGCAUCACCCACUCUCUCAGUUCCUCAUCAGUGGGUGGUGCUGGAAACUAAGACCCAGCUUAAAUGCCAUGUAGACAGUUUCUACCCUCCUCCUGUCUCUUUUUCCUGGACCAAAGCGGGGGAAGUGAUUCAACCUCCCUACCAGGUUGACCAUGUUUUGAAUGUGCAAUUCACAAGAUCAUAAUGAAGUAACGCAAUGCUUUGACUAAAAACAGGUACCAGAGAAAAAACUCUGGCUGCCUAAGAAAAAGAUUGCUUUAAUUAUUUUCUUUCUGGCAGUCCUUCUAUGAAUCAUCUGAUACAUUUCUCUCUCUGCUUCCUCUUAGAUGAGGCCCCAGUGCUGAAUAACUCGGCCAAAGCAGCCGUGGCUAUGAUGUGCAUCUCUAUAGUGCUGGUCUUCCUGCUUUGCUUUGGCUUUUCUUGGAGGAGAAGAGAUGAGAAACAGAAAUCUCUCAGCGUGUCGGGGAUCAUCCUCCCUCCCCGAGUGAUAGUAGGUCAAAAGGGGAGGGUGUCGCUGAGCAUUGAAGGCAGGAGGGUGGACCGGGUGCAGACCGCAUGGUUCCUCAAUGACACCCCUAUUUUUGACACCUCACUCGCAGUGUCAGAGAAAGGUCCUCUGCUGCUCUCCAGAGGUGAAAUGGGUUACUACAAGCUGCACACUCAAGGGCCGCUGUACUCGUCCAAAAACGGCACUCAACAGCUGAUCUCCUCGCUCACCUUCAUCCCCCAGAUUUCAGUUCACAAGGGUGCUGUGUUUAAGUGCCAGGUGUCCUACAUAGGCAAGGACAAGAUCGUGGAGGAGAGGGUGUCGGAGAAGUUCACUGUUCUGUCUCCUCCUGAUGUGUCAGAAAUACAGCUGGCAGAAACACAAAGAGACAAAGAUGUCAUCAGCCUGACAGUCCGAGCGUCACAUUUCCAUCCAGACAUCAUCACUUUCCGCUGGUUUUGCCAGGGUGGCGAGCUCAGCCCCGUGGCGUCCCAGGCCUCGUCCUCCCCUCAGCCCAAUUCAGAGGGAUUCUUUUCAGCCUACAGCCAGUGUAAACUUCCCUGCGCUGAACUGGAGAAAGGAGCAAUGAAAGUGUGGGUCAGUGUCCACCACAUUGCCCUGAAGCAGCCCAUCACCCGGGAGACCAGAGGAUUCAUCAGGAGGCCGUGCAUGUCUGAAAUUGUCAGCUCCACCGUUUUCAAGGUCAAACUCUGGGAUGUGAAAUCACAGAUUUCUACCCUCCAAACAUUUCAGUGA